RNAcentral lists this ribosomal RNA (408 nucleotides) under uncultured bacterium. Its description in RNAcentral is "partial 16S ribosomal RNA". It matches the Rfam family "Bacterial small subunit ribosomal RNA", at positions 28 to 526 of the family's 1533-position model. The record is from RNAcentral.
GACGAACGCUGGCGGCGUGCUUAACACAUGCAAGUCGAACGAAGUGGCGAACGGGUGAGUAACGCGUAAUCCACCUGCCCUUCAGAGGGGAACAACAGUUGUAAACGACUGCUACUACCCCAUACUGACGUAGGGGAUUGCGUCUGAUUCGCUAGUUGGAGGGGUAACGGCCCCCCCAGGCGAUGACCAGUAGCCGGUCUGAGAGGAUGAACGGCCACAUUGGGACUGAGACACGGCCCAGACUCCUACGGGAGGCAGCAGUGGGGAAUCUUCCGAAAUGGACGAAAGUCUGACGGAGCAACGCCGCGUGAGUGAUGACGGCCUUCGGGUUGUAAAGCUCUGUUAAUCGGGACGCGGUACCGGAAUAGAAAGCCACGGCUAACUACGUGCCAGCAGCCGCGGUAAUUC